Molecule: ribosomal RNA, 1124 nt
Filed under: uncultured bacterium
Lineage: Bacteria
Description: bacterial SSU rRNA
Rfam family: Bacterial small subunit ribosomal RNA
Source: RNAcentral
AGGUAGUUGGUGAGGUAACGGCUCACCAAGCCUAUGACGGGUAUCUGGUUUGAGAGGAUGAUCAGACACACUGGAACUGAGACACGGUCCAGACUCCUACGGGAGGCAGCAGUGAGGAAUAUUGCACAAUGGAGGAAACUCUGAUGCAGCAACGCCGCGUGGAGGAUGACGCAUUUCGGUGUGUAAACUCCUUUUAAGAGGGAAGAUUAUGACGGUACCUCUUGAAUAAGCACCGGCUAACUCCGUGCCAGCAGCCGCGGUAAUACGGAGGGUGCAAGCGUUACUCGGAAUCACUGGGCGUAAAGGGUGCGUAGGCUGACUUUUAAGUCAGGCGUGAAAUCCAAUGGCUUAACCAUUGAACUGCGCUUGAAACUGGGAGUCUAGAGUUCAGAAGGGGCAGAUGGAAUUAGUGGUGUAGGGGUAAAAUCCGUAGAUAUCACUAGGAAUAUCAAAAGCGAAGGCGAUCUGCUGGGAUGAUACUGACGCUGAGGCACGAAAGCGUGGGGAGCAAACAGGAUUAGAUACCCUGGUAGUCCACGCCCUAAACGAUGAAUGCUAGUCGUCGGGGUACUCGUUACUUCGGUGAUGCACUUAACAGAUUAAGCAUUCCGCCUGGGGAGUACGGUCGCAAGAUUAAAACUCAAAGGAAUAGACGGGGACCCGCACAAGUGGUGGAGCAUGUGGUUUAAUUCGAAGAUACACGAAGAACCUUACCUGGCCUUGACAUGGUAGGAACCCUUAAGAGAUUAGGGGGUGCUAGCUUGCUAGAGCCUACACACAGGUGCUGCACGGCUGUCGUCAGCUCGUGUCGUGAGAUGUUGGGUUAAGUCCCGCAACGAGCGCAACCCUCGUCCUUAGUUGCUAACAGUUUGGCUGAGCACUCUAAGGAGACUGCCUUCGCAAGGAGGAGGAAGGUGAGGACGACGUCAAGUCAUCAUGGCCCUUACGGCCAGGGCUACACACGUGCUACAAUGGGGCGUACAAAGAGCUGCAAUACCGCGAGGUGGAGCCAAUCUCUUAAAGCGUCUCUCAGUUCGGAUUGUUCUCUGCAACUCGAGAACAUGAAGCUGGAAUCACUAGUAAUCGUAGAUCAGCUAUGCUACGGUGAAUACGUUCCCGGGUCU